This is a long non-coding RNA of Wyeomyia smithii (pitcher-plant mosquito), 652 nucleotides long. RefSeq lists it as uncharacterized. The transcript is spliced from 3 exons. NCBI's taxonomy places the organism in Eukaryota, Metazoa, Arthropoda, Insecta, Diptera, Culicidae. The record is from RefSeq and is a predicted model, not a curated record.
AUCGAUUUUCUGGCAGCUGUUUUCGAUGUAAAUAAUCUGAACUAGGUAAAAUAAACAGAUACCUUGAAAAAGCUGUGCGAUAAACCUCAAUCCCACCCACGGCAGGAAAUGCAGCCGCAAGGGUAAAGAAAUUCGAAAACAUUCCAACAAAGUAAUCGGACAUCUCUGGCGAGUGCAAUUCCCACUGUCGGAACCGCUGCAACGGCAACCUUCAACAGCAGCAGCAGUACCUAACAAUUUAACUACAGACACAUGAAUCAUCGCUUCUUUCUGAGAGACAUGAUCCACCAAACAUAGAUAUAAGUAUUGAUUUCUAAAGAUAUAAGGAGCCAUCACACCUUAACGAAUAGUAUUAAGAAUUGAUAUUUACUCAUACAGAGAAGAACUUUAUUUAUUAUUGGUAUUGUUAGCCGUAGGUUUAAAUGAUAUGUAUUUUUGAAUUGUAUUUAAAAAAGAGAAAAGAUGAGAGGGUUUUUAUGCCUGUUUGAGGAGGAGCAGUCGGGAUACAGGCUCUACUCAAGCUGGCUUUUCCCUACUCCAAUAGAUAUUCGGCCCCGUUAUGCUUUGCGGUUGGGCCUAAAUAAAUAUUAGAGUUAAAAAAAAAAAAUCGAUAUGAAAAAUAUCGCCAAGGGGUACGCAAACAAAAAAAGGU